RNAcentral lists this ribosomal RNA (469 nucleotides) under uncultured bacterium. RNAcentral describes it as "partial 16S ribosomal RNA". It matches the Rfam family "Bacterial small subunit ribosomal RNA", at positions 28 to 507 of the family's 1533-position model. The record is from RNAcentral.
GACGAACGCUGGCGGCGUGCUUAACACAUGCAAGUCGAACGGAAAGGCCCUGCUUGCAGGGUGCUCGAGUGGCGAACGGGUGAGUAACACGUGGGUGAUCUGCCCCUUACUUUGGGAUAAGCCUGGGAAACUGGGUCUAAUACUGGAUAGGACCAUGCUGUAGGUGGUGUGGUGGAAAGAUUAGUUUCGGUAAGGGAUGAGCUCGCGGCCUAUCAGCUUGUUGGUGGGGUAAUGGCCUACCAAGGCGUCGACGGGUAGCCGGCCUGAGAGGGUGGACGGCCACAUUGGGACUGAGAUACGGCCCAGACUCCUACGGGAGGCAGCAGUGGGGAAUAUUGCACAAUGGGCGCAAGCCUGAUGCAGCGACGCCGCGUGGGGGAUGACGGCCUUCGGGUUGUAAACUCCUUUCAGCCAUGACGGAGCCCUUGUGGUGACGGUAGUGGUAGAAGAAGCACCGGCUAACUACGUG